RNAcentral lists this ribosomal RNA (465 nucleotides) under uncultured bacterium. Its description in RNAcentral is "partial 16S ribosomal RNA". It matches the Rfam family "Bacterial small subunit ribosomal RNA", at positions 28 to 507 of the family's 1533-position model. The record is from RNAcentral.
GAUAAACGCUGACAGAAUGCUUAACACAUGCAAGUCGAUGAUGGGAGCUAGCUUGCUAGAAGAAGUCAUGGCGGACGGGUGAGUAACGUGUAAAGAACUUACCAUAUAGACUGGGAUAACAGAGGGAAACUUCUGAUAAUACUGGAUAAGUUAGUAGUAGCAUUACUAAGUAAUGAAAGGUAGCAAUACGCUAUAUGAGAGCUUUGCAUCCUAUUAGCUAGUUGGUGGGGUAAAAGCCUACCAAGGCGAUGAUAGGUAGCCGGCCUGAGAGGGUGGACAGCCACAAGGGGACUGAGAUGCGGCCCUUACUCCUACGGGAGGCAGCAGUGGGGAAUAUUGGACAAUGGAGGCAACUCUGAUCCAGCAAUUCUGUGUGUGUGAAGAAGGUUUUAGGACUGUAAAACACUUUUAGUAGGGAAGAAAGAAAUGACGGUACCUACAGAAGAAGCGACGGCUAAAUACGUG